CGGCAGUGCACCGCUAGCUGGCUGUCGGGAUGCGGGUCACAGCCGCUGGCUGCACUCCCCU
Molecule: microRNA precursor, 61 nt
Filed under: Oryctolagus cuniculus (rabbit)
Lineage: Eukaryota; Metazoa; Chordata; Mammalia; Lagomorpha; Leporidae
Description: Ocu-Mir-34-P3a_pre stem-loop
Source: RNAcentral